UAUUGUGCGUAGACAGGGAAUAGUACAAAUGCAACACCUUUUAGAGAGAGGAUUCAUCUGCUGAAAGAAUCCUUAAGGCUAGUUGGUUGGAAGUCGCCCUUGAGCAUCUUCUUUGAACAAUGAAGUAGAAGAAGACGGUAAAUCCGUUAUCGAUGAAGAGUACAGCAAGUUAAUUUGAACUUGCCGUAAAUUAAGGUGGUACCGCGGAAAAGUCCUUUCGUCCUUUAA
Molecule: non-coding RNA, 228 nt
Filed under: Fictibacillus arsenicus
Lineage: Bacteria; Bacillati; Bacillota; Bacilli; Caryophanales; Fictibacillaceae
Description: T-box sequence
Rfam family: T-box leader
About the family: Uncharged tRNA acts as the effector for transcription antitermination of genes in the T-box leader family.
Source: RNAcentral